RNAcentral lists this ribosomal RNA (492 nucleotides) under uncultured bacterium. RNAcentral describes it as "partial 16S ribosomal RNA". It matches the Rfam family "Bacterial small subunit ribosomal RNA", at positions 29 to 507 of the family's 1533-position model. The record is from RNAcentral.
AGUGAACGCUGGCGGCAGGCCUAACACAUGCAAGUCGAACGGCAGCACAGUAAGAGCUUGCUCUUACGGGUGGCGAGUGGCGGACGGGUGAGGAAUACAUCGGAAUCUACUUUUUCGUGGGGGAUUACGUAGGGAAACUUACGCUAAUACCGCAUACGACCUACGGGUGAAAGCAGGGGAGCUUCGGACCUUGCGCGAUUGUAUGAGCCGAUGUCGGAUUAGCUAGUUGGCGGGGUAAAGGCCCACCAAGGCGACGAUCCGUAGCUGGUCUGAGAGGAUGAUCAGCCACACUGGAACUGAGACACGGUCCAGACUCCUACGGGAGGCAGCAGUGGGGAAUAUUGGACAAUGGGCGCAAGCCUGAUCCAGCCAUGCCGCGUGGGUGAAGAAGGCCUUCGGGUUGUAAAGCCCUUUUGUUGGGAAAGAAAAGCAGCAGGUUAAUACCCCGCUGUUCUGACGGUACCCAAAGAAUAAGCACCGGCUAACUUCGUG